GACGAACGCUGGCGGCGUGCUUAACACAUGCAAGUCGAACGGUAAGGCCCUUCGGGGUACACGAGUGGCGAACGGGUGAGUAACACGUGGGUGAUCUGCCCUGCACUUCGGGACAAGCCUGGGAAACUGGGUCUAAUACCGGAUAGGACCACUGCCUGCAUGGGUGGUGGUGGAAAGCUUUUGCGGUGUGGGAUGGGCCCGCGGCCUAUCAGCUUGUUGGUGGGGUGAUGGCCUACCAGGGCGACGACGGGUAGCCGGCCUGGGAGGGUGACCGGCCCAACUGGGACUGAGAUACGGCCCAGACUCCUACGGGAGGCAGCAGUGGGGAAUAUUGCACAAUGGGCGCAAGCCUGAUGCGGCGACGCCGCGUGAGGGAUGACGGCCUUCGGGUUGUAAACCUCUUUCAGCACCGACGAAGCGCAAGUGACGGUAGGUGCAGAAGAAGGACCGGCCAACUACGUGCCAGCCGCCGCGGUAA
This 478-nucleotide ribosomal RNA is filed under the name uncultured bacterium. RNAcentral describes it as "partial 16S ribosomal RNA". It matches the Rfam family "Bacterial small subunit ribosomal RNA", at positions 28 to 523 of the family's 1533-position model. The record is from RNAcentral.